This is a long non-coding RNA of Arabidopsis thaliana (thale cress), 426 nucleotides long. RefSeq annotates it as other RNA. The transcript is spliced from 2 exons. The record is from RefSeq. Lineage: Eukaryota; Viridiplantae; Streptophyta; Magnoliopsida; Brassicales; Brassicaceae.
AUACUGAAAACACGAUAAAACCAGAGCAAACCUAUCUAUAAAAACCAAAAAAUUUCCUCACAUUUACAUAUUUCCUCAAUAAAGCUCUAACCUUUCUGAUCAAAAACCCUUUUUAUCAGCUUCUUCCUCUUUUGCGAUCAUGAAAACCUCCAACUUUCUCUCUAUUCCGCAUCUCUCUUCUCCUUCUUUAUUGAAGGGAGAGUCUUGAGAUUUUAGUGUGUCGUUUUAGUUUAAUCGAAGAUCUUGCUGUGUUCAUGUGAAGAAAGAGAGUCUUGAGCUUUAGGGUUUUAUUUUGGCCUUUGUUGUUGUGAUUAUCAUUUGAAUGCGUUAACACGUUAACGAUUCUGUUAACAAUUUAACACGUUAACAAUUCUGUUACACAAAGAGGAGCUAUGGGCUUUUAGUCGGCCUUCGUUUCUUCUGUAA